Molecule: ribosomal RNA, 429 nt
Filed under: Gemmatimonadota bacterium
Lineage: Bacteria; Pseudomonadati; Gemmatimonadota
Description: Gemmatimonadetes bacterium partial 16S ribosomal RNA
Rfam family: Bacterial small subunit ribosomal RNA
Source: RNAcentral
UAGGGAAUCUUCGGCAAUGGACGAAAGUCUGACCGAGCAACGCCGCGUGAGUGAAGAAGGUUUUCGGAUCGUAAAACUCUGUUGUUAGAGAAGAACAAGGACGUUAGUAACUGAACGUCCCCUAACGGUAUCUAACCAGAAAGCCACGGCUAACUACGUGCCAGCAGCCGCGGUAAUACGUAGGUGGCAAGCGUUGUCCGGAUUUAUUGGGCGUAAAGCGAGCGCAGGCGGGUUCUUAAGUCUGAUGUGAAAGCCCCCGGCUCAACCGGGGAGGGUCAUUUGAAACUGGGAGACUUGAGUGCAGAAGAGGAGAGUGGAAUUCCAUGUGUAGCGGUGAAAUGCGUAGAUAUAUGGAGGAACACCAGUGGCGAAGGCGGCUCUCUGGUCUGUAACUGACGCUGAGGCUCGAAAGCGUGGGGAGCAAACAGG